UACAGAGGGUGCAAGCGUUAAUCGGAAUUACUGGGCGUAAAGCGCGCGUAGGUGGUUUGUUAAGUCUGCUGUGAAAUCCCCGGGCUCAACCUGGGAAUGGCAGUGGAUACUGGCAAGCUAGAGUGUGUCAGAGGAUGGUGGAAUUCCCGGUGUAGCGGUGAAAUGCGUAGAGAUCGGGAGGAACAUCAGUGGCGAAGGCGGCCAUCUGGGACAACACUGACGCUGAGGCACGAAAGCUAGGGGAGCGAAUGGG
RNAcentral lists this ribosomal RNA (253 nucleotides) under uncultured bacterium. Its description in RNAcentral is "partial 16S ribosomal RNA". It matches the Rfam family "Bacterial small subunit ribosomal RNA", at positions 524 to 776 of the family's 1533-position model. The record is from RNAcentral.